This 449-nucleotide ribosomal RNA is filed under the name uncultured bacterium. RNAcentral's name for it is "bacterial SSU rRNA". It matches the Rfam family "Bacterial small subunit ribosomal RNA", at positions 26 to 507 of the family's 1533-position model. The record is from RNAcentral.
AAGAACGACGCUGGGCGGCAUGCCUAACACAUGCAAGUCGAACGAGACCGUUCGGGUCUAGGUGGCGCGACGGGUGCGUAACGCGGUGGGAAUCUCGCCCCUUCGGGUUCGGAAAUAACACAGAAGUAAAUUUGUGCUAAUACCGGAUAAUGACUUCGGUACCAAAGUAUUUAUCGCCGGAGGGAUGAGCCCGCGUAAGAUUAGCUUGUUGGUGGGGUAAUGGCCUACCAAGGCGACGAUCUUUAGCUGGUCUGAGAGGAUGAUCAGCCACACUGGGACUGAGACACGGCCCAGACUCCUACGGGAGGCAGCAGUGGGGAAUAUUGGACAAUGGGCGAAAGCCUGAUCCAGCAAUGCCGCGUGAGUGAUGAAGGCCUUAGGGUUGUAAAGCUCUUUUACCAGGGAUGAUAAUGACAGUACCUGGAGAAUAAGCUCCGGCUAACUCCGUG